This 756-nucleotide ribosomal RNA is filed under the name uncultured bacterium. Its description in RNAcentral is "bacterial SSU rRNA". It matches the Rfam family "Bacterial small subunit ribosomal RNA", at positions 8 to 796 of the family's 1533-position model. The record is from RNAcentral.
AGAGUUUGAUCAUGGCUCAGAAUCAACGCUGGCGGCGCGCUUAACACAUGCAAGUCGAGCGAGAAAGGGGAGCAAUCCCUGAGUAAAGCGGCGUACGGGUGAGUAACACGUGGAUAAUCUACCUUUUAGUGGGGAAUAACUCUGGGAAACCGGAGCUAAUACCGCAUAAUCCUGUGAGGGGAAAGCAGCAAUGCGCUGAAAGAGGAGUCCGCGGCCGAUUAGCUAGUUGGUAGGGUAAUGGCCUACCAAGGCGAUGAUCGGUAGCCGGCCUGAGAGGGCACACGGCCACACUGGCACUGAAACACGGGCCAGACUCCUACGGGAGGCAGCAGUGGGGAAUCUUGCACAAUGGAGGAAACUCUGAUGCAGCGACGCCGCGUGAGCGAUGAAGCCCCUCGGGGUGUAAAGCUCUUUCGGCAGGGACGAUAAUGACGGUACCUGAAGAAGAAGCUGCGGCUAACUACGUGCCAGCAGCCGCGGUAAUACGUAGGCAGCGAGCGUUGUUCGGAAUUACUGGGCGUAAAGAGUGUGUAGGCGGUGCUAUAAGUUCGGUGUGAAAUCUCCCGGCUCAACUGGGAGGGUGCGCCGAAAACUGUAGUGCUCGAACGUGGGAGAGGAAAGCGGAAUUCCUGGUGUAGCGGUGAAAUGCGUAGAUAUCAGGAGGAACACCUGCGGUGUAGACGGCUUUCUGGACCAUUGUUGACGCUGAGACACGAAAGCGUGGGUAGCAAACAGGAUUAGAUACCCCCGUAGUCC